This is a long non-coding RNA of Zingiber officinale, 239 nucleotides long. RefSeq lists it as uncharacterized. NCBI's taxonomy places the organism in Eukaryota, Viridiplantae, Streptophyta, Magnoliopsida, Zingiberales, Zingiberaceae. The record is from RefSeq and is a predicted model, not a curated record. The transcript is spliced from 2 exons.
CAUUAGGCACAACAACCAAGAGCAAAUGUUGGAUUCAAAACCAUCUUUUAAUCUUUUGCUUGAUUUUCUCAACAAAAUUGGUUGGUUCAUUAAUUUGUACAAGAGAAGCAAUUUAUCUCAUGAAAUUCGAAGACAGGGAGGGCAAGAAGAAGAAAUUGAAGGCAUGCAUGCAAUUAGCUCGAGGAUGGAGGAACAAAUUAUUGAAAGGAAAAAAAACUUGUUAUUACAGAAAGUAGGCA